UGGAUCCAGACUUUGAUUAUGGCUCAGGAUGAACGCUAGCUACAGGCUUAACACAUGCAAGUCGAGGGGCAGCAUGGUCUUAGCUUGCUAAGGCCGAUGGCGACCGGCGCACGGGUGAGUAACACGUAUCCAACCUGCCGUCUACUCUUGGACAGCCUUCUGAAAGGAAGAUUAAUACAAGAUGGCAUCAUGAGUCCACAUGUUCACAUGAUUAAAGGUAUUCCGGUAGACGAUGGGGAUGCGUUCCAUUAGAUAGUAGGCGGGGUAACGGCCCACCUAGUCUUCGAUGGAUAGGGGUUCUGAGAGGAAGGUCCCCCACAUUGGAACUGAGACACGGUCCAAACUCCUACGGGAGGCAGCAGUGAGGAAUAUUGGUCAAUGGGCGAGAGCCUGAACCAGCCAAGUAGCGUGAAGGAUGACUGCCCUAUGGGUUGUAAACUUCUUUUAUAAAGGAAUAAAGUCGGGUAUGCAUACCCGUUUGCAUGUACUUUAUGAAUAAGGAUCGGCUAACUCCGUGCCAGCAGCCGCGGUAAUACGGAGGAUCCGAGCGUUAUC
Molecule: ribosomal RNA, 555 nt
Filed under: uncultured organism
Description: bacterial SSU rRNA
Rfam family: Bacterial small subunit ribosomal RNA
Source: RNAcentral